UGGCGAUGGCAGAUGAUCGCUGGCGAGCUGCUUGCGGCUUGCUGGAGGAAAGUCCGAACACCAUACGGCGGCACGCCGCGUAAAACACGCGGGCGUCACAGUUGAAAAACUGCGAUGACGGAGAGUGUCACAGAAAAAAUACCGCCGGUUCUUUGGCAACAAAGUGCAGGCAAGGGUGAAAAGGCGAGGUAAGAGCUCACCGCUCGCGGAGCAAUUCGCGAGGCACGAAAAACCCCAUGCGGUGCAAGACAAAACAGAGGAAGGGUAGCCGGCCCGAUUUAUCCUCGGGUAUCGUCGCAUUACGGUCCCGCGACCGCGGGAUCGGACUCUUGGAGAAAUCUGGGAGAGAUAAAUGAUCAUCCUCAGUAUUUUGCUAGCAAAAGUGCUGGGACAGAAUUCGGCUUAUCGCCAUCAAAAAUAU
This 421-nucleotide RNase P RNA is filed under the name Verrucomicrobiota bacterium. RNAcentral's name for it is "Verrucomicrobia bacterium RNase P RNA component class A". It matches the Rfam family "Bacterial RNase P class A". From Rfam's summary of the family: Ribonuclease P (RNase P) is a ubiquitous endoribonuclease, found in archaea, bacteria and eukarya as well as chloroplasts and mitochondria. The record is from RNAcentral. Lineage: Bacteria; Pseudomonadati; Verrucomicrobiota. RNAcentral also lists the same sequence under 1 other name.